RNAcentral lists this ribosomal RNA (120 nucleotides) under Helianthus annuus (common sunflower). Lineage: Eukaryota; Viridiplantae; Streptophyta; Magnoliopsida; Asterales; Asteraceae. The record is from RNAcentral.
UGUGGCGAUCAUACCAGCACUAAUGCACCGGAUCCCAUCAGAACUCCGCAGUUAAGCGUGCUUGGGCGAGAGUAGUACUAGGAUGGGUGACCCCCUGGGAAGUCCUCGUGUUGCAACCCC